GAUGAACGCUGGCGGCGUGCCUAAUACAUGCAAGUCGAGCGAACAGACGAGGAGCUUGCUCCUCUGACGUUAGCGGCGGACGGGUGAGUAACACGUGGAUAACCUACCUAUAAGACUGGGAUAACUUCGGGAAACCGGAGCUAAUACCGGAUAAUAUAUUGAACCGCAUGGUUCAAUAGUGAAAGACGGUUUUGCUGUCACUUAUAGAUGGAUCCGCGCCGCAUUAGCUAGUUGGUAAGGUAACGGCUUACCAAGGCAACGAUGCGUAGCCGACCUGAGAGGGUGAUCGGCCACACUGGAACUGAGACACGGUCCAGACUCCUACGGGAGGCAGCAGUAGGGAAUCUUCCGCAAUGGGCGAAAGCCAGACGGAGCAACGCCGCGUGAGUGAUGAAGGUCUUCGGAUCGUAAAACUCUGCUAUUAGGGAAGAACAAAUGUGUAAGUAACUAUGCACGUCUUGACGGUACCUAAUCAGAAAGCCACGGCUAACUACGUG
This 497-nucleotide ribosomal RNA is filed under the name uncultured bacterium. RNAcentral's name for it is "partial 16S ribosomal RNA". It matches the Rfam family "Bacterial small subunit ribosomal RNA", at positions 28 to 507 of the family's 1533-position model. The record is from RNAcentral.